This is a long non-coding RNA of Clupea harengus (Atlantic herring), 331 nucleotides long. The record is from Ensembl. NCBI's taxonomy places the organism in Eukaryota, Metazoa, Chordata, Actinopteri, Clupeiformes, Clupeidae.
GGUGAGGCAGAGAGGCCAAAUGGUGUCUGGUGUCUGGUGGCUGAGCGCGGUACGGUGGUGAUGUGGCUGAGCGCGGUACGGUGGUGAUGUGGCUGAGCGCUGUACGGUGGUGAUGUGGCUGAGCGCGGUACGGUGUGUGAUGUGGCUGAGCGCGGUACGGUGGUGAUGUGGCUGAGCGCUGUACGGUGGUGAUGUGGCUGAGCGCGGUACGGUGUGUGAUGCGGUGGAGUUGAAAGGGAAGUCAGCACCAGCACAGCCAGGGUUCUAAGAUGAAGGCCCAACGCAUGCACAGGGUUCUAAGAUGAAGGCCCGACACAUACACAGGAGGCUU